GAUGAAGAACGUAGCGAAAUGCGAUACGUAAUGUGAAUUGCAGAAUUCAGUGAAUCAUCGAAUCUUUGAACGCAUAUUGCGCUCUUUGGUAUUCCGAAGAGCAUGCUUGUUUGAGUAUCAGUAAACACCUCAAAAGAUUUUCAUUUUUGAAAUGAUUUUGGACUUGAGCAAUCCCAACACCAGUCUUCACGGAUCGGCGGAGGGUUGCUUGAAAUGCAGGUGCAGCUGGACAUUCUCCUGAGCUAAAAGCAUAUCUAUUUAGUCCCGUCAAACGGAUUAUUACCUUUGCUGCAGCUAACAUAAAGGGAGUUUGACCAUUUUGGCUGACUGAUGCAGGAUUUCACAAGGGUCGGUAAAACGAUUUUUGUAAAACUCGAUCUCAAAUCAAGUAAGACUACCCGCUGAACUUAAGCAUAUCAAUAAGCGGAGGA
RNAcentral lists this unclassified non-coding RNA (431 nucleotides) under soil metagenome. RNAcentral's name for it is "partial contains 5.8S ribosomal RNA, internal transcribed spacer 2, and large subunit ribosomal RNA". The stretch from base 1 to 120 matches the Rfam family "5.8S ribosomal RNA", at positions 35 to 154 of the family's 154-position model. The record is from RNAcentral.